Molecule: ribosomal RNA, 488 nt
Filed under: uncultured bacterium
Lineage: Bacteria
Description: bacterial SSU rRNA
Rfam family: Bacterial small subunit ribosomal RNA
Source: RNAcentral
ACGAACGCUGGCGGCGUGCCUAAUACAUGCAAGUCGAACGAACUGUGGAAAGCUUGCUUUCAGAGUUAGUGGCGAACGGGUGAGUAACACGUAAGUAACCUAGCUAUUAGACGAGGAUAACUACUGGAAACGGUAGCUAAGACUGGAUAUGAUAGAAAUAUUUAAAGGAUGCUAAGGCAUCGCUAAUAGAGGGGCUUGCGGCGCAUUAGCUAGUUAGUAGGUAAAAGCCAACCAAGGCGAUGAUGCGUAGCCGACCUGAGAGGGUGACCGGCCACACUGGGACUGAGACACGGCCCAGACUCCUACGGGAGGCAGCAGUAGGGAAUCUUCGGCAAUGGACGGAAGUCUGACCGAGCAACGCCGCGUGAGUGAAGAAAGUUUUCGGAUUGUAAAGCUCUGUUAUUAGGGAAGAAAGGCUCUAGGAGGAAAUGCUUAGGGAUUGACGGUACCUAUGAGGAAGCCACGGCUAACUACGUGCCAGCCGCUGC